This 233-nucleotide non-coding RNA is filed under the name Clostridium tyrobutyricum. RNAcentral describes it as "T-box sequence". It matches the Rfam family "T-box leader". From Rfam's summary of the family: Uncharged tRNA acts as the effector for transcription antitermination of genes in the T-box leader family. T-boxes are found upstream of many aminoacyl-tRNA synthetase genes and some amino acid biosynthetic genes usually in Gram-positive bacteria. The record is from RNAcentral. Lineage: Bacteria; Bacillati; Bacillota; Clostridia; Eubacteriales; Clostridiaceae.
UUAAAAACUUUGAAAAAGGAAAGUAGUUUAAUAUAGAUUUUAAGAGAGGAAAUCAUUUGCUGGAAGAUUUCUAAAUUUACCUUAAAUGAAGUGCCCUUUAGAGUUGUGUACCGAAAUGAUAGUAGGCUGCAUCAGGUUCACCUGUUAUAGUGAUUGGAUAUUUUAUGUAUCUGAAGAGAGAGACAUGUAGUCUAAUUAGAGUGGAACCGCGAAGUUUAAGCUUCGUCUCUAUA